This 73-nucleotide transfer RNA is filed under the name Pueribacillus theae. It matches the Rfam family "tRNA". Rfam says of the family: Transfer RNA (tRNA) molecules are approximately 80 nucleotides in length. Their secondary structure includes four short double-helical elements and three loops (D, anti-codon, and T loops). Further hydrogen bonds mediate the characteristic L-shaped molecular structure. tRNAs have two regions of fundamental functional importance: the anti-codon, which is responsible for specific mRNA codon recognition, and the 3' end, to which the tRNAs corresponding amino acid is attached (by aminoacyl-tRNA synthetases). tRNAs cope with the degeneracy of the genetic code in two manners: having more than one tRNA (with a specific anti-codon) for a particular amino acid; and 'wobble' base-pairing, i.e. permitting non-standard base-pairing at the 3rd anti-codon position. Lineage: Bacteria; Bacillati; Bacillota; Bacilli; Caryophanales; Bacillaceae. The record is from Rfam by way of RNAcentral.
GCUUCCAUAGCUCAGCCGGUAGAGCACUUCCAUGGUAAGGAAGGGGUCGCAGGUUCAAGUCCUGUUGGAAGCU